Molecule: ribosomal RNA, 216 nt
Filed under: uncultured bacterium
Lineage: Bacteria
Description: partial 16S ribosomal RNA
Rfam family: Bacterial small subunit ribosomal RNA
Source: RNAcentral
UACGUAGGGUGCAAGCGUUGUCCGGAAUUAUUGGGCGUAAAGAGCUCGUAGGCGGUCUGUCGCGUCUGACUGUGAAAACUCGAGGGCUUAACCCUAGAGCUUGCAGUGGGUACGGGCAGACUAGAGUGCGGUAGGGGAGACUGGAAUUCCUGGUGUAGCGGUGAAAUGCGACAGACUAUCAGGAGGAACACCAUGGCGAAGGCAGCACUCGUGGGA